This 324-nucleotide small RNA is filed under the name Gallid alphaherpesvirus 2. RNAcentral describes it as "latency associated transcript 22 non-coding RNA". Lineage: Duplodnaviria; Heunggongvirae; Peploviricota; Herviviricetes; Herpesvirales; Orthoherpesviridae. The record is from RNAcentral.
GAACUCGAUUCCGAUUACCGCAGGUCUCUCGGACUAGUUGAGAGGGGCAAUGGGAACAGCAAUCACUUUCGAAUUCCUUCAGCCCAAAGCACAACCGCGGGUCCACCGGGACUCUCCGACAUAGCUCGAGCCAAAAGGGAAUUGUAGCCCAGGCAAGAAGGGCGGUGCAUAUCUGCAAGUAAACAAAACUCGGGGUUCUGUACGAUUGGCCGGGGUCUUACAUGCUCGCCGAAUUGGAUUUGAGAAUCAAUCUUCCGACGGGUCUCCUGACUUGAACAGGGGAAAGGGGGAGGGGGAGUGUGUUAUCUUGUCGCGAACCAAUAA